This is a small nuclear RNA of Benincasa hispida (wax gourd), 102 nucleotides long. NCBI's taxonomy places the organism in Eukaryota, Viridiplantae, Streptophyta, Magnoliopsida, Cucurbitales, Cucurbitaceae. The record is from RefSeq and is a predicted model, not a curated record.
GUCCCUUCAGAGACAUCUGAAAAAAUUGGAACAAUACAAAGAAGAUUAGCAUUACUUACGCAAGGAUCACACACAGUACAAAUUGAAAAAUAGUCCAAUUUU